GACACUGCUGGGGCAGGAAAAGUCCCUGGAAAAGCCAGGUGAGACAGCGGUGGUGGGAGAGAGACCCUCCGGAGAGCGUGGGUGGGGGAAGGACGUGGCUGGGGACAAUGUGGCAGCUACAGGCACGGGCAGCCCUUUCUGCAGGGGCUUUCUGCACACCGAAGGAAGGGCACAAGCAGCCCCCAGCCUCCCUGAGCAUCUCUGUCGCGACAUCCAGAAGGGCAGAGGAGCACGAGGGAGGUGCUGGAGGCACCGGGGAAACCCCAGCGGCUUUCUCCGGGCUCCCAAAGGCAGAAGGGACGAGUGCUGGGAGGAUUUUAACACCCGCCAGAGCCUUUUCGUUGGCUCCUGUGCUGUACCGAGGAUUUGGGGAUUUGAGCUGGGGUGGAGCGAGUAUUAAUUUGGAUUAUUGGGAUAUUAGCUUGAAUAUUAGCUGCCUUACAGAGGAUAAGCUUUGUGGCGGUCAGUUUCGUAGAUGCACAACUACCCGGCAGCCUCCGCAUUAAAGCAGCAACAAAUUGCUCGAGAAGGGCAGGGGAAGGCUAAGUAACAGAAAAGACGAGUGUCUUACCUGGCAUGGUGCAGAGAAGAGCCAAAACUCACCCGCCACAAGGCCACCCAUGGCCUCCAUAAUAGUCUCCUGUGCUUUUCAGAGCUAAUUUUAAACCCAGGGUUUGCACAGCAGUCGCCUGUAAUUCACUGCUGCUUUAUUUCCUGUCUCGCUGCUGUGCAGAGGUUUCGCUCUUAACACAAAAAAACUGAAGGGAAAUUCCCUGCCCCAAUUUUUUCUGUUACUGAUCUUUUUCAGUUGCGACGCGCCGAGCCCGAUGUCACGCCGCAGCUACCCGGCUGGGGGAAGGAGGGCCCCCCCCAAGAGCACAAUGGAGAUGGACAAAAUAUUCCUCCAGCUGUGUGAGGAGGUUACCAGGCUGCAGGAUCUGUGUGCGAAGCAGGGCAAGCUCCUCCAGAAGCUGACUGCCAGGAAGGGCCCUGUCCUCGAUAUCCCCAUGUCGCUGCCGGUCCAGUGCACGGAGGACAUGGCCACGGAGGAAGGGGAAAGGCCACCGGGCAGCCCACAGAAGUGCUCCGAGGCCCCGGAGGGCUCUGCCCACCCCCUGGUGCAGCCGCACGCUGCCGACGUGCCCGGCUUCGACAGCAGCUACCCACCGAGUGCCCCAAACGGCAGCGUCUUCGACGGCGGGGCUGGCAGAGCAGCUCUUGCUGUGGCUUUUGGCAGCAACAAGGCAGAGAGAAGUGAGAAGAUGGAUCUAGACACGUGGCUGAAGAACUGCAGGAUGCCUCCUGUCGUGAAUAGCCCCGAGGAAGGAGUGAGAGCUUGCUGCAGCCCGCAGGAGUUCGUGGCACCAAAUGCCGAGGCUGUGGACUCCUUCCUGACUCUCUUGGACCUUUACAAAGGCCCAGAAGCCCUUCAGAAGGAAGAUGCUCCCAGUGAAAGUGCUCCGGCUGCUGAGGAAAAGGUGCCAGUAGAGAUCCGAGGACCCAUGAAGACGUCCUGGACACCAGGCUGGAUGCUGGAGGAUGCUCCGCUCGGGCAAGGUGACGUCCUCACCUCCGAGGCCGCUCAGACUUAUGACAUUUGCCAGGCGAUUUUCCCCUCGGAUGCGGCAGCCCAAGCAGACUAUUUAAAGGAAGUCUUAACCCAUAUGAAGUAGGACUUUCCACUCGUAAACCUGCGUAUUUGCACCGCGACCACGAUGGGCUCUGGACCUUCAUGAGAUCCUGCUGCUGGAUCAGCUCAGGCAGCAAUCCUGUUCCGAGUAAUCCGGCGUGCUCCCAAACUGGUGCUCCCGUCCCUUGUGCCCUGCUGGAUGGGCCGGCUGGGGGCUCGGGGUGUGUUUUGGCUUUUUGAGCUUUGUGGAUAUCAAAGCAGCUUCUGUGCCAGAGGCUGGAGGUGUGUGGGGGAUGUGGGGAGCUGUAACUCAACGGGAAAUGAACAUUUUUCAAAAUUCUCCAUAACCACAAAGGUUGAAAUACUUUUUCUGUAAAUAGAGACAUUUGAAAAGCUUUGGCUUUUUAUGAGAAGUCUCAGCUCGGAGCACAGUUCAUCUUCAUGCGGAUGCUUGGGUGGCUCCAUGAGCAGGAUCAGGCCCUUGUUUGGCUGGAGGUCAAAGUGGGUUUUCUCCCAUCAUGGUGCAACCUCCCCGUUUGCAUCUCCAGCUCCAAGUUUUAUCCCAUGGCUCCUCAAAUUAAUUAGAUUGUGGCAUGACUUUAUAGUGUUUUGUGCUCUUGUUUAGAACCUGGAAGAAUAUAUCUGUUUCCAACAUGCUAAGUUACUGGAAGCACCAGCUCAAACAGAGAGCCAGAGCAAGAAGGGCCAUAAAUUUAUUUGGUAUAAAAUUGUAACAGCCAUCCAAAACUUGCCGGAAGGAAGAAAACCAUCCCAGUUCCUCCUGCUCUAAGAGCAAGUCCAGUAAAUUUAAUUUAAAAAUCCCAGGCACAGAUGGCUUUUCUCAAGAGUAAAAGCAGUCGUGGCACACUGGUUUCCAUGAGCUGUGCUCUGAAAUGAGCCACGCGUGUGUCUGUGCGUGGCAUUGCACGAAAUGACACAAAAAAAUCACACCGGGCGCAUUUGGGGUCACCCAUCCCCAAAUUUCAGCGUGAUGCUCCGCCUGCGCUCCAUCCCUGGUGACUCAGGCCGUUUGAGCUGUCCAA
Molecule: long non-coding RNA, 2673 nt
Filed under: Anas platyrhynchos platyrhynchos (common mallard)
Lineage: Eukaryota; Metazoa; Chordata; Aves; Anseriformes; Anatidae
Description: lncRNA (ENSAPLG00000024622.1)
Source: RNAcentral